Molecule: long non-coding RNA, 875 nt
Organism: Hydractinia symbiolongicarpus
Lineage: Eukaryota; Metazoa; Cnidaria; Hydrozoa; Anthoathecata; Hydractiniidae
Exons: 2
Source: RefSeq, a predicted model, not a curated record
GUUUAGUCACGUGAUCAAAAGCCGUAGAAUUUUUUUUGCCGUAGCGAACUCGCAUACCGUAGACAGAUUUUCCCAAGAUUUUAUACGUAUGUGCCCAUCCAAAGCUAUUUUCCGACUAUGUUUUUCCUUAUUAGGCAUUUUUCGAUAGGCACCUCUUUGCACAGAAUAGGCCGAGGUUUGUUUUGAUUGAUGAUAGAAGUUUGUAGCUGUUAACGUUGAAGAGUUACAGGAUUUUGAAUUUUAAGAAUUUGACUUCAAGAUAUCUUGGCCAAACAUCUGAAUGCAGUGGUUGUACAGUUAAACGUGUUUAUAUACUUUGUAAAAAAAAUGGUAUUUCUGGCAUGACUAUAAAAUGCUUAUAUUAUGUCAAUGACUUUAUAUUAAAGUUUUUAUUUAGCUUAAUCAUAUGAUUUUGAUAUUUGUUUCUUUCUGGAUUUUUGCCUAUCUCUUUACAGUAUUUAACAGCCUGGUCUGCAAAACAUCAAUAAUUUUUUAUAGUUUAAUUUACUGUUUUUAUCACAAUUCUGUUAAUUAACCUAUACAAACUUCACAGAUGGCUUAUAUACCUGGUUUCCUUUUUAGUUCUUACCCCCGUCUUUUUUAAAUUUAACAGUCUGGUCUGUAAAUUACACAUAUUUAUCACAUGAUAUUUUUUGUAGUUUUAAUUACUGUUUUACCAUGGUUCUGUUUUUUUUAAUUUAAUGCAACUUCGCCAACAAUGGCUUAUUUAAAACUGGUUUCUUUUUAGUUUUACCCCCGUCUUUCUCUAUUUAACUGUCUGGUCUGUAAAAUACACACCUUAUCACGUGAUAUUUUUUGUAGUUUUAAUUACUGUUUUAUCACAGCAAUUUAAUGCAACUUCGCCAAUGACUUAA